This 484-nucleotide ribosomal RNA is filed under the name uncultured bacterium. Its description in RNAcentral is "partial 16S ribosomal RNA". It matches the Rfam family "Bacterial small subunit ribosomal RNA", at positions 30 to 507 of the family's 1533-position model. The record is from RNAcentral.
AUUGAACGCUGGCGGCAGGCCUAACACAUGCAAGUCGAGCGGAUGAAGGGAGCUUGCUCCUGGAUUCAGCGGCGGACGGGUGAGUAAUGCCUAGGAAUCUGCCUGGUAGUGGGGGAUAACGUCCGGAAACGGGCGCUAAUACCGCAUACGUCCUGAGGGAGAAAGUGGGGGAUCUUCGGACCUCACGCUAUCAGAUGAGCCUAGGUCGGAUUAGCUAGUUGGUGGGGUAAAGGCCUACCAAGGCGACGAUCCGUAACUGGUCUGAGAGGAUGAUCAGUCACACUGGAACUGAGACACGGUCCAGAUGCCUACGGGAGGCAGCAGUGGGGAAUAUGGGACGAUGGGCUAAAGCAUGAUCCAGCCAUGCCGCGUGUGGGAAGAAGGUCUUCGGAUUGUAAAGCACGUUAAGUUGGGAGGAAGGGCAGUAAGUUAAUACCUUGCUGUUUUGACGUUACCCACAGAAUAAGCACCGGCUAACUUCGUG